GAGCUUGACUCUAGUCCGA
This 19-nucleotide small nuclear RNA is filed under the name Arabidopsis thaliana (thale cress). RNAcentral describes it as "snRNA_02202". Lineage: Eukaryota; Viridiplantae; Streptophyta; Magnoliopsida; Brassicales; Brassicaceae. The record is from RNAcentral.